This is a long non-coding RNA of Eucalyptus grandis, 531 nucleotides long. RefSeq lists it as uncharacterized. The transcript has 3 exons. The record is from RefSeq and is a predicted model, not a curated record. Lineage: Eukaryota; Viridiplantae; Streptophyta; Magnoliopsida; Myrtales; Myrtaceae.
GAUAACUAUAACAUCUGCUUUCUUGUAGUGGUUGCAUCCUGUCUGAACAAUAGUGAAGUUCACAUUUACAGACUUUCAGAAGACAGGUGGGAGCAAGCGCAUAUUCUCCAAAAGGUCAUUAUUGCAGUACUUCAUCCUUAAAGAAUAUGUAUGGAAUCAUGAAGGAUCAGAGUGGGUACCUACCUUAGUUAUGCUCAGGCUAAACCGAGCUGUGGUUUGCCUUCAAUGGAGCCCAAAAGAAAACAAAUUUGAUGUUGGAACAAGAUGGUAUUAGCUUCUAUUUUCGGGUUUUUCCUCUUCAUUGUUUUUUUAUUUUAUUUUUCAGUCUUAUGUUGCGUUGGACAUGUAUUCUUCUGAUGUGCUUUUUAGUAAGUCAUCACUGACUGAUUAAGGAUUUAUGGGCGAUAUGUUUUCCAAACUUGGGGGACAAGUUGGUUGUGUUCACUGCAUUUGAACUCAUUCUUUUAUGAUGAAAGCUUUUAAAUUUGGGUAUGAGCAUUGGCCAAGCAUUGUCUGCUUGAAGUUGACCUA